This 579-nucleotide ribosomal RNA is filed under the name uncultured Alphaproteobacteria bacterium. RNAcentral's name for it is "bacterial SSU rRNA". It matches the Rfam family "Bacterial small subunit ribosomal RNA", at positions 38 to 662 of the family's 1533-position model. The record is from RNAcentral. Lineage: Bacteria; Pseudomonadati; Pseudomonadota; Alphaproteobacteria.
GGCGGCACGCCUAACACAUGCAAGUCGAACGAAGUAGCAAUACUUAGUGGCAGACGGGUGAGUAACAUGUGGGUAUCUGCCCUUUGGCCUGGAAUAACACGAGGAAACUUGUGCUAAUACCGGAUAAGUCUUUACGGAGAAAGCUUUAUGCACCAUUGGAUGAGCCCGCACUUGAUUAGUUAGUUGGUAGGGUAAUGGCCUACCAAGACUGUGAUCAAUAGCUGAUUUGAGAGGAUGAUCAGCCACAUUGGGACUGAGACACGGCCCAAACUCCUACGGGAGGCAGCAGUGGGGAAUCUUGCACAAUGGAGGAAACUCUGAUGCAGCGAUGCCGCGUGAGUGAAGAAGGCCCUUGGGUUGUAAAGCUCUUUCGUCGGGGAAGAAAAUGACUGUACCCGAAUAAGAAGGUCCGGCUAACUUCGUGCCAGCAGCCGCGGUAAUACGAAGGGACCUAGCGUAGUUCGGAAUUACUGGGCUUAAAGAGUUCGUAGGUGGUUGAAAAAGUUGGUGGUGAAAUCCCAGAGCUUAACUCUGGAACUGCCAUCAAAACUUUUCAGCUAUAGUAUGAUAGAGGAAAGC